GACGAACGCUGGCGGCGUGCUUAACACAUGCAAGUCGAACGGAAAGGCCCUGCUUUUGUGGGGUGCUCGAGUGGCGAACGGGUGAGUAACACGUGAGUAACCUGCCCUUGACUUUGGGAUAACUUCAGGAAACUGGGGCUAAUACCGGAUAGGAGCUCCUGCUGCAUGGUGGGGGUUGGAAAGUUUCGGCGGUUGGGGAUGGACUCGCGGCUUAUCAGCUUGUUGGUGGGGUAGUGGCUUACCAAGGCUUUGACGGGUAGCCGGCCUGAGAGGGUGACCGGCCACAUUGGGACUGAGAUACGGCCCAGACUCCUACGGGAGGCAGCAGUGGGGAAUAUUGCACAAUGGGCGGAAGCCUGAUGCAGCAACGCCGUGUGCGGGAUGACGGCCUUCGGGUUGUAAACCGCUUUCGCCUGUGACGAAGCGUGAGUGACGGUAAUGGGUAGAGAAGCACCGGCUAACUACGUG
This 468-nucleotide ribosomal RNA is filed under the name uncultured bacterium. RNAcentral's name for it is "partial 16S ribosomal RNA". It matches the Rfam family "Bacterial small subunit ribosomal RNA", at positions 28 to 507 of the family's 1533-position model. The record is from RNAcentral.